UGCAGUCGAACGGCAGCACGGGCUUCGGCCUGGUGGCGAGUGGCGAACGGGUGAGUAAUACAUCGGAACGUGCCCUGUAGUGGGGGAUAACUAGUCGAAAGAUUAGCUAAUACCGCAUACGACCUGAGGGUGAAAGCGGGGGACCGCAAGGCCUCGCGCUACAGGAGCGGCCGAUGUCUGAUUAGCUAGUUGGUGGGGUAAGAGCCUACCAAGGCGACGAUCAGUAGCUGGUCUGAGAGGACGAUCAGCCACACUGGGACUGAGACACGGCCCAGACUCCUACGGGAGGCAGCAGUGGGGAAUUUUGGACAAUGGGGGCAACCCUGAUCCAGCAAUGCCGCGUGUGUGAAGAAGGCCUUCGGGUUGUAAAGCACUUUUGUCCGGAAAGAAAUGGCCUGGGUGAAUACCCCGGGUCGAUGACGGUACCGGAAGAAUAAGCACCGGCUAACUACGUGCCAGCAGCCGCGGUAAUACGUAGGGUGCGAGCGUUAAUCGGAAUUACUGGGCGUAAAGCGUGCGCAGGCGGUUUUGUAAGACAGGCGUGAAAUCCCCGAGCUUAACUUGGGAAUGGCGCUUGUGACUGCAAGGCUAGAGUAUGUCAGAGGGGGGUAGAAUUCCACGUGUAGCAGUGAAAUGCGUAGAGAUGUGGAGGAAUACCGAUGGCGAAGGCAGCCCCCUAGGACGUCACUGACGCUCAUGCACGAAAGCGUGGGGAGCAAACAGGAUUAGAUACCCUGGUAGUCCACGCCCUAAACGAUGUCAACUAGUUGUUGGGGAUUCAUUUCUUCAGUAACGUAGCUAACGCGUGAAGUUGACCGCCUGGGGAGUACGGUCGCAAGAUUAAAACUCAAAGGAAUUGACGGGGACCCGCACAAGCGGUGGAUGAUGUGGAUUAANUCGAUGCAACGCGAAAAACCUUACCUACCCU
Molecule: ribosomal RNA, 928 nt
Filed under: uncultured soil bacterium
Lineage: Bacteria
Description: bacterial SSU rRNA
Rfam family: Bacterial small subunit ribosomal RNA
Source: RNAcentral